RNAcentral lists this ribosomal RNA (253 nucleotides) under uncultured bacterium. RNAcentral describes it as "partial 16S ribosomal RNA". It matches the Rfam family "Bacterial small subunit ribosomal RNA", at positions 524 to 776 of the family's 1533-position model. The record is from RNAcentral.
UACGUAGGGUGCGAGCGUUAAUCGGAAUUACUGGGCGUAAAGCGUGCGCAGGCGGUUCGCCAAGUCAGGUGUGAAAUCCCCGGGCUUAACCUGGGAAUUGCGCUUGAAACUAGCGGGCUUGAGUAUGGCAGAGGGGGGUAGAAUUCCACGUGUAGCAGUGAAAUGCGUAGAGAUGUGGAGGAAUACCGAUGGCGAAGGCAGCCCCCUGGGCCAAUACUGACGCUCAUGCACGAAAGCGUGGGGAGCAAACAGG